This 231-nucleotide ribosomal RNA is filed under the name uncultured bacterium. RNAcentral describes it as "partial 16S ribosomal RNA". It matches the Rfam family "Bacterial small subunit ribosomal RNA", at positions 524 to 753 of the family's 1533-position model. The record is from RNAcentral.
UACGUAGGGUGCAAGCGUUAAUCGGAAUUACUGGGCGUAAAGCGUGCGCAGGCGGUUUUGUAAGUCUGAUGUGAAAUCCCCGGGCUCAACCUGGGAAUUGCAUUGGAGACUGCAAGGCUAGAAUCUGGCAGAGGGGGGUAGAAUUCCACGUGUGAGCAGUGAAAUGCGUAGAGAUGUGGAGGAACACCGAUGGCGAAGGCAGCCCCCUGGGUCAAGAUUGACGCUCAUGCA